RNAcentral lists this transfer RNA (86 nucleotides) under Cololejeunea lanciloba. RNAcentral's name for it is "tRNA-Leu". It matches the Rfam family "tRNA". From Rfam's summary of the family: Transfer RNA (tRNA) molecules are approximately 80 nucleotides in length. The record is from RNAcentral. Lineage: Eukaryota; Viridiplantae; Streptophyta; Jungermanniopsida; Porellales; Lejeuneaceae.
GGGUAUGGCGAAAUUGGUAGACGCUGCGGACUUAAAAAUCCGUUGGCUUUAAUAGACCUUGAGGGUUCAAGUCCCUCUACCCCCAU